GAUGAACGCUAGCGGGAGGCCUAACACAUGCAAGCCGAGCGGUAUUGUUUCUUCGGUAAUGAGAGAGCGGCGUACGGGUGCGUAACACGUGUGCAACCUGCCUUUAUCUGGGGGAUAGCCUUUCGAAAGGAAGAUUAAUACUCCACAAUAUAUUGAUCGGCAUCGUUUAAUAUUGAAAGCUCCGGCGGAAAGAGAUGGGCACGCGUAAGAGUAGCUAGGUGGUGAGGUAACGGCUCACCAAGGCGAUGAUCUUUAGGGGGCAUGAGAGGGUGAUCCCCCACACUGGUACUGAGACACGGACCAGACUCCUACGGGAGGCAGCAGUGAGGAAUAUUGGUCAAUGGGUGCAAGCCUGAACCAGCCAUCCCGCGUGAAGGACGACUGCCCUAUGGGUUGUAAACUUCUUUUGUAUAGGGAUAAACCUACCCUCGUGAGGGUAGCUGAAGGUACUAUACGAAUAAGCACCGGCUAACUCCGUGCCAGCCGCCGCGGUAA
RNAcentral lists this ribosomal RNA (495 nucleotides) under uncultured bacterium. RNAcentral's name for it is "partial 16S ribosomal RNA". It matches the Rfam family "Bacterial small subunit ribosomal RNA", at positions 28 to 523 of the family's 1533-position model. The record is from RNAcentral.